Molecule: long non-coding RNA, 3152 nt
Organism: Numida meleagris (helmeted guineafowl)
Lineage: Eukaryota; Metazoa; Chordata; Aves; Galliformes; Numididae
Exons: 4
Source: RefSeq, a predicted model, not a curated record
GUCUCUCGUCCCAGCAACAUCUCGCUCCCCAGCCGUCUUACUGUAGAUUUCCAAAGCAUAAGCAGAUGGAACCAGACCGGACCAGAUGGAAAAACAGGACUGGGAAAAUACUGCUUCCUUGACGCAUGCUGAUGUCAGGAAGAUACUUACCUUAGGAUAUGCUGUGCCAUAAUCACAAAAUAGAGGGAAACACACACAGAUUCAACAUCAAAAGAUACAUGAAGCUACUAUGUAGUAACUGAUUCUGCUGCAAAAAUAGCUGUUGAAAUGAAAUGAAGAACAGUGGUUGGAAAGCCUUUCUCUUGGUCAUGUUUUUCCUAAUUGAAAUGCAUGACGAAAUUCCUAAUUUCACUUGCUCAGAAAUUUUUACAUAGAUUUCACCUCUGGUUUAUGAAUCCACUGGGAGAACAACAGAAUUCCAGACAAAACGGACAAUCAAACAGGAAGAUCAUGCGCUUCAAAACUGAAAGGCACAUAAAAAGAAAAUGGAAUCAACACACGGGAUCUGCAAUAUCAUUGCUAGAGAACAGCAGACAAAGAUGACUAACAGUCACUAGCGCCUAUGACACAAUCAUCAAGAAUGUCUUCGGAUGAUAAUAGAGUUAAAAGCCAAUGGAGUUAUCUAAAGUCAGACACUUAUUUAAGGGCAUAAGGGGGCACUGGCUCAGAACAAUAUGAAAAAGAUCAUUUAUAAAAAUUGACUCAGAGAACCAUUUUAAAAUUUCCUCAUCCUCAGCAGAUUCUUCUCAGAACUUCUGUAAACAUCCACCAACCUGUUAUGUCAGUAAAGGAAAACAGCUAAAGGAAUCCAUAACUUUUGUCAUCGUCUGCUGGAAAAAUAUGUUGACUUCUGCAUCUGACUGCAGUGCAGUAGAAGCAUUGUACCAAGUGGAGCCUUUGCACACUUCACGGAGUCUGCCAUUUAUGCAACUAAUAAUAUGCAAAACAUACGUGAGUUUUAAUGUGGAAGAUUAUAUUUCAUUAAUAUCCUGCAAUUUAAUAUUCAUUAUCUGCUUACUCUGUUGCAAACUACAGAUGUAUCUAAUCACAUUGAGAAUAUUUUUGUUCCUUUUGUCUAUCUGAAUUUUACUGCAUCUGUCACAGGAAAAAAUGUAGAACUUUAGCAAUUGGUGACAAAGUCUGAGAUUUCUUCUCCCAUGACACUUACGGGAUUACGAUUUUACCUCAGAGACAUAAAAGUGCCUUUCAUGUUCCUCUCUCAAAUGUAGAGAGGCUCUUCCUAGUAAAAAUAUUUUCUGUACACUCAUUCAUGCUCAUCUGACCAGCCUCUGUUUCUGUAAAUCCUAUCAUUAAAAUCCCCUCAUCUGAGCUUGAGUGUAAGCUAACAAUGAUGUAAAUUUCUCUUGCAUCAUGUAAUUAAAUACAGAUUCCAAACUAAAUAAUUAUCUAGAUAUAUAAAUAAAUGAAUAAAUGAGUUAUAUUGAGAAUUACCAAUCCUAGAAAAGGAUUCCAAAGAUUUGAAAAAGACAGGUGUAAUGUGGUUAGAGAAGUGCCUUGCUGUUGAGUGUUUUCUUAAACAAACAAAACAAACUAACUAAAACAACAACAACAAAAAGAGGUCAUCAAGAGCCUUUGGUUCAAGAUCCCCAAACGGCAAUGAGAAAGAGGCAAGAGUAAAAAAUGAAGGUUAAUCACUACAUGGAUGCUAAGAGCAGAGAUCGUUGAAGAUUCUGCCUAGUAAAAGAACAACAGCGACAGUUGGGGAAAACAGAUCACCAAAUUCACAUAAAGGUAGUGAACUAUGUGAUCUUUGAAUCUUGCAAUUUAUCCAUGUUGGCUAGAUACUGGAGGAUCAUGAAAGUACCAAACAUCAAAACUCUCUCAGCUUUGCAACUGGGUCUUAUGUCUUAACCUUGAAAUACCAUGGUUUUGCUCCUUUACAUACCGAGGUCAGAAUCUAGUUACUUGGGCAUUACCCUUAAGGGAUUUUGUUGCAUUCACUGCCAGCGCUACUCUUUCCUCCCCUUUACCUAUGUUUUUCAAACAUCUUGCCUUGUGAACUUAGAGAAACUAGUAAGAGGAAAAAUAUUAUUUCCAGAUGCUUUUAAAAAUACAUAAACAGUGUUCAUAUACAGAAUGUCAAAUCAUAUAAUCACAUUGCUGUAGUGCAGUAAGAACAGCUUCCUUUCUGUGAUUUGUUGAACAAUACAAUAGGUGAUGGGCUGAAGAUACUGAAAUUCUAGCUAUAGAUUAGUUUAUAUACUGAACUUAGUUGUCAUGAAAGCUAUUAAACUGAAUGUCCUAGAUACUGAUCUCAUCGACUUAUUCACAGAAUUGAUACAAUGAAAUAUGUAAUGGUGCAGACUUUCAAAACACUGUCCUACAAGUAUGUUCCAACUCUGAUCUGCUAAAUGACCUAUGGGUGAAGAGAUUUGUUCAGCCUGUACAUUUAUUUAGGAAAGCACUCCUUCCCUAGUUUUAAUCAAUGAUAAAACUUCUAAGGAAUUUGAUAAAAGUUUGAGCACAUCUUUGUCCUCUAGGAAUGAUGCUGCGACCACUGAAUGACCACAGAAACCAAUGAUCAUGAUCGUGUUUUUAAAUGACUGAAGACACAUACAGGAAAAGAUACUAUCAGACUCCUAGGCAUACAUCUCAGAUCUUUGUGCAAAUGUCCAGAUUGCAAAGGACCAUGAUUUAUCUGAGUUUUCUAGAUCUUCCGUGCCCUUUGUUUAAAACUUGAGCUUGUAAUGCAGUUAAUUUGUACUUUCUUUGAAUAACAAAUUAUUUCUUAAAUCAUUUCAAAUGCUAAAGAAUGAGAAGAGCUUUUGAAUCAGCUGAUUGUUCUACUAACUGGGAAUUUCACUUUUUUUUUUUUUUUUUUUUUGUCUGACCUUCACCACCAUCUUUAAACAUAUAUGAAACUGAGUAAUAAAAACUGGAAAGUCAGAGGUAGAAAAGAGAAGACAAGGAAAAACGGGAAGUGCAACCUAUCAGCUUCACUCCAAACUUCUGAAUGAGAGAGGUCAUCAGCACCCCAAGUACCACAUCUGAUCUCAUGAUAACAAAGACAUAUACUUGUGUAACAAUACAUUCUUAGAAUGCCAUUCUGAAUCUGAAACAAUAUUUCUACAUGUCAAAUGCACUAAGAGCUGUCUAUUACUGUAAGAAUAAAAAAGAUUUUGAUCAAAGUA